RNA transcript from Arvicola amphibius (Eurasian water vole), 4228 nucleotides. It is a transcript of the gene named XK related 6, with no coding region annotated. NCBI's taxonomy places the organism in Eukaryota, Metazoa, Chordata, Mammalia, Rodentia, Cricetidae. The transcript has 3 exons. The record is from RefSeq and is a predicted model, not a curated record.
CGGCGCCCCGGGUGCGGGGGGCUCGGCCACCCCGGGGGCGCAGCGUCUGUGCCGCCUCUCCGUGUGGAUCUGGCAGUCGGUCAUCCACCUGCUGCAGAUGGGGCAGGUGUGGAGCUCUAAGCAAAAGACAUGAGAGGCCUCAGCUGAAAUGAGGUGGUUUUGAGGUCAUCCGAUUUCUAGACGUGUGCGGUCACCUGGUCCUGAAAGUCCUCCACACAGAAUGGUUUGCAAUUUUUUUUGGUGAUGGCAUGUUCAGAAUCUUGGAUCCCUAAGUUGAAUAUUGGAAAUAUGUAGGAGCCUUGGAAAUUAUGUUGUUUUCAUAUUUUAAUGUUUUGGUAGGUGAAUCAGUAGAUUUAAUAAAUGUAUGUAAAAGAACUCUGUACUUGUAAGCUGACAGGUGUGUCUGAGGCGUGUCACCUGCGUGCUACGUUCUGGAGACAGUCUGCUUCCGAGGUUCUCUGUGGACCCCUCGUGGUCUGAGCAGUGGGCUUCCUCCUGUCAUGUUUUGGUUGGCUGGGUUUCCUUUCUGCCCACCUUGCAAUGUGAGCUCCUUAGAUCACAGGCAUCAGUGAUCAGGGGUUAAGAUGAGAAGAGAAAACAUCGUAACAAUCUUAAAUGCAGUAAUUACAGAAUUUCCACCUGGAAAUCACCUCACAAGAUCUGUAUUAGAAAUACGCAGACUCUUUUAUUUUUAAACAAAUGUAUGUAUGGCCAAAUGCUGCCAGUUCUUAAAAUUAGACAGUAUUGUAGGUCAGAGGUGCUCACACUGAGGGAGUAAGGCCGUUCACUUUCACCUCCUUCCUGUGUUCCGGAACUCUCGUCAGGUGGGUGAGCUAGUGGGAAGGGGCCGGUGGUCUGUGUAAAGGGAGAAACCCCGAGAAAAGGCCUCCAUUUCCUGAAAGGAUUAAUUUCCCUAAACAACUACAAUAGCAACAGAUUUGACUCCCUUCCAAGAAUGGGCUGCUGUCAUGUAGAAUGUGGGUGAGGGGGUGUUCAACCACCGACAGAUGGAUGCGUGGUACCGAGCGCAGAUUACAGUGGCUGUAGUCGUUGGUGGUUGGCUGUCUUUUGCCUGCCUCCCCUGCACCUGCUGGAAUUCAGAGACCUGAGGAUGCUUACUUACUUCAGUAACUAACUCCAGAGCUUAGUUUUUCAGUGGUCAGUAGGCAUGCUCUCCACCCUAACUGGGGAGUAGUGACUGUCAAGACCACAGUUAGAACAACUUGGAAGGAUGAAGAAAAUGCAGGAAAGUGGGGAGCCUGAGUUCUAUUAUUGGUGAGUUGUCCAUUGUUCCUGGAGUCCUUACAUGCCUGUAGCCACAGUAACCCUCAGAUUUCUGUUAGAAGAGCUUCAGAAACUGAACUGACUGUACUACUGCCACUGGCUCCCUUUUAAUUAAAAUUUAAUUACGUCAUUUCCCCCCUUGCCUCCCCUCCCCCUGCUAGCCCUCUCCUCCCUUUUCAGUGGGCUGAAUUAGAUGAUACUUAUUUAAUAGAAAGCACACUGAAAACACUCGGUAGACUUUUGUUUUAAUUGUUACAUACCAAUCUCCACACGUGUUGUCUAUUUAGCUGCUUUCUGAUUACAAUUGGCUUUUAAAAACUCUCUUUCUGUGGUAUUUCUGUCAAUAGAGGUUUCCUUUUAGCCAGUUCUAGCCACAGUAUUGAUUGGGCCUGGGUAUCUGAUACAUCCAGAAGGAAUUAGCCAGCCAGGAAAAAACUUUAUUCCCUCCAGAAUAAAUAUUUUAAAGACCUUCUUAGAUUCUGAAAACCGUGAGUGCAAAUGAAGGAGACUUAAAGAGAAAACUUUAGGAUUCUGAUGGUACAAAGUGAGGGUAGGCUGCACUUGGAACUCCACAGAGCAGGUCCAAGGGAACAGAGUGCAUCUCCUAGCAGGGAAGAGGAUGCUGGGAUGUCUUGGACAGGAGACAUUCCCUGUUGUCAUGGGAAGCUUUCAUGAACAUGCAUGGUAUUUAAGAGUAGUCAGGCCAGUGUUUGGAAAUACUAAUGUAUCGCCUAAUGGUGAGUUUGAAUUAUUCUGGAAUGUUCUAAAUAUGUUUGUGACUUAAUGGUUAAUUUAAUUUCAAAUAAAUAUUUUAAAUAUUAAAGAAAAUGCAUUAUCAAUAAAACUUUUGUUUCUGUUGUAUAACUUUAUAAAAUAAUAUAGAGUAUCAUGUAUAGUGGAAAACUGUGGGCAUGGGUAUGAUCAUAAUGGCCACCUCCCAGAAACUUCUGGAUAAAACAUUAAGACUAUACUCAAUUUUGUCUUACUUGUAGUAUUGAUUAGAGAGCAUUUUAGUGUCUCUCAUAGGAAGUCUGUCCCUUCCUGGGUGACUGUGCUUCACGGCCUUGGUACAUCAUACUCCAAAAAGUAGCAGGUCUGUGAGCAUUACAUAGACUAACAGCAGGACCCAGAGAAGGAGAGUGGAGCAGCGGCCUGCUGUGGUGGGGACGUUGUAGAGAAACGCCAGCGGAAAUCUGCUGGAAGCUGGGACGCCUUCAUCAGCACAGCCACAAAAGCCGGACAUAGCUGUGCCGUGUCUGCACAGGCAGGGACAGUGAUGUGUGGGGUCCUUGUCACUCGCUCUGACUUUGAUCUCCCUCCCCCCCAGUGAUUCUCUGCUUCCAAAGGCUUGAAGGCUGUCCACUGCCUCUUCACACAGAGACCUGCAGCCACAAGAUGGAAGCCACUCCUAGAGCGAGGGAGUAGAUCCUGCAAAGGCCACUCCCUCCUGAGAACAAGUGGAGAAUGUGGAGCCUCAGGCACAGGGCAUGGUGGUGUCCUCUGCGGAUGGAUGUUUAUUUCAUAAGAGGUUGAGUAGCAAUGCCCUUUAACAUGAGCACACUUGCCCCCUAAAUUAUUAGAAAGGUCUUCUCAAGUGUGACCUUUUAUUAUGUCAGGAUAUUAGGCUCUUGGUGUCAGCUAGUUGUUAAAUUCUGUAAUAGUGACGAGAGCUUUGAGACUUGGUUGUGACUUGUAAGUCUGAAGCAGAUUUUCAGGAAAACUGCCGACACUCCCAGUUGACUCGUUUGCAUCCCUUUCGGCUUUUCCGGAGUGUGGUCCUUUCUGAGUUUGUCAGCUGGGAGGAGAUGCCCCCUGCUCUCCGUUUCCCCUCGAUGACUGACUCUGGCUUGCACCAUUCGAAACCUAAUUUGUCAGAAAGUCCAUGUGAACAGCCUGCCUUUCUCCUUGGUGCAAUCUCGAGUCACCUCCUUGUUCUGUCAGUUGCUGGGAGUUUCUUGUACGGUACAGCUUAACUCUGAAGGUGAAGUCAGAAGACCUGAAGAAACAUUGCCCUUGUGUUUAAGUAGUCAGAAGGGAAUCGCCAGACUGACACCAGCAGAGCAUCCUGGGUGGCCUGCUGUUAACUGAGUUGAAUUUGACUGUUAUUUAAAAACUGAAUGUAUAGACAUAAAGUAAUCACAAAAGGUGUAUUGUUCAUGUAAGGCCUGUCACCUGAGGCGUUUCUGUCUGUGUGGUCUAGAGGUGAUGACCCAUUCUGCUGUAAAGGAUCCAGGUCAGUUAAUCUGACUGAAAGAUAGAUAACAUUUACUGAGCUUCUGAGGCCUUUUCAUGUCUCCUUUGAAAGUUUGCUACUUUGUACUUUCAUGGUUUCACAUCCACAGGAAGAGGAUCCUGGAAGAAGAGUGUGACUCAACUACAUCCUUUCUUUGGUGACAGUAAAAACAGCAUACAAGGGGUUUAAGAGUCUUUUGGAGUUCUCCUGCAUCUGUCCUGUUCAUUCUUCCUCUGCAAUUCCAUCAUGGUUCCUUCUAGCACUUCAAGAUGGUGCUGUUUGGCUCUCAAACCCUGAGUCCACAUAAAAGUAUCAGCACACAGUUCAACCUUCUCUCCCAUCGUCAGGUUGCAUUCUGCUGGGAACAGGAGCUUCGUGAUUCCUUUCCUGGUGUAUCUCCAUCUUCCUUCCUGAAGAGAAGCAGCUCUUCCAGACACAGGCACCUUGGCUGUCUAAGGGAUGACCUGUAACAAGUUCACAGCACUGUAUUCUCAUUGUGCUGGUCACUGCUGUUGUGGUUUCCAAGGAAGACAACUCCAACUGCCAUGCUAUGAAGCUGGAAGGAGCCAAGCCUACCUCAGGCAUGGGAAGACCCAAAGCUGACUUACGAGCAUGGAAACUUGCUAGAACCUGAAGAGAGCUGGAAGAUACUCCAGUGUUUCCUUUGGUGACUUAAAAACAAACAAGCAAUACACACACACACACACACAC